CUGGAUGCUGCUUCAAUCUGUCUGACCUCAUGUUCUUCAUUCAGCUCUCCAGUUCCUCCCUCUGUGAUGUAGAGAUCUGUGUAGAUCUCAUUCAGAAGGAUUGAGUUUCCUGCUUUGGUGAUUCCCUCAGUUAAACACUGGAACUUCUUUUUCAGACCAGAUUUGAGUUUAUGCUGACAAACUGCAAAAAAUCCUGAUUGAAGACAAUAAAGAAAGAAGUUCUCUGUGAUCUUCAUCAGUGACUCUCUGCUGCUCCUCUGCCCUUCAUCUUCAUCCUUCAGAUCCUCCUCAUCUGUCUUCUGAUUCAGAAGCUUCUGGAUCUUCUUCAGCUCUUUCUUCACAAAAGUGACAAUGUUUUCCUCCAGCAGCUGCAACAGAAUUCUAGAUGAAUGAGCCAAUCAGAGUGAAGUCAUGGAACCAAACAUCAGCUCCAUGUUGGACACACUGACAAUCCACUGGUCUACAAAGUGCAGCAUGGAGAUGAAUGUGAACAUAAUGAAGAAGAAGUAGUUCUUGUUCAUGUACAGACCAGAAAGAUGGAGUCCAGCUGUUUUUGAUGCUGCUGGACAGACGGACCAUUUGGAGUCUCUGAGCUCUGCUGGUCCACUCUGUGGAGAAUUAUCAGCAAUCAACUCCAUUCUGUCUGUGCUGGAAGGUUUCAAACCACACUAACUGGAGUCUGGUCAGUUCACCGAGUCACAGCUGGAAAACUUGUUAUACAUAUAAGUCAGUCUUUUUUCAUUCCAGUGUACUUUUUUCUUCGGUCUGAUUGUGUGUUUUUUCCUUUUUCCUUCCUUUUUUCCUUCCUUUUUCCGCUCUAUCCUUUAGCUUCAACCCCAGUAAGCCCCCUUGCUGUUUUUCCAUUCCCUGUGUGAUUUUUAUUGUCUUUUUGUUUGAAAUAAAAAUACUUUUAAAGAUUUGUUUGUUCUACAUGUUUGUUUUGUUUUCUGUCUUUUGUCUAGCUCAGUGUUUUUCAACCUUUUUUGAGGCACGGCACACUUUAAACCUUGACAGAAAUCCAGCGGCACACCAGCAUCCA
This is a non-coding RNA of Oryzias latipes (Japanese medaka), 1039 nucleotides long. The record is from RefSeq and is a predicted model, not a curated record. NCBI's taxonomy places the organism in Eukaryota, Metazoa, Chordata, Actinopteri, Beloniformes, Adrianichthyidae.